RNAcentral lists this ribosomal RNA (553 nucleotides) under Staphylococcus argenteus. RNAcentral's name for it is "partial 23S ribosomal RNA". It matches the Rfam family "Bacterial large subunit ribosomal RNA", at positions 1488 to 2039 of the family's 2925-position model. The record is from RNAcentral. Lineage: Bacteria; Bacillati; Bacillota; Bacilli; Caryophanales; Staphylococcaceae.
AAGCGUGCGAUUGGAUUGCACGUCUAAGCAGUAAGGCUGAGUAUUAGGCAAAUCCGGUACUCAUUAAGGCUGAGCUGUGAUGGGGAGAAGACAUUGUGUCUUCGAGUCGUUGAUUUCACACUGCCGAGAAAAGCCUCUAGAUAGAAAAUAGGUGCCCGUACCGCAAACCGACACAGGUAGUCAAGAUGAGAAUUCUAAGGUGAGCGAGCGAACUCUCGUUAAGGAACUCGGCAAAAUGACCCCGUAACUUCGGGAGAAGGGGUGCUCUUUAGGGUUAACGCCCAGAAGAGCCGCAGUGAAUAGGCCCAAGCGACUGUUUAUCAAAAACACAGGUCUCUGCUAAACCGUAAGGUGAUGUAUAGGGGCUGACGCCUGCCCGGUGCUGGAAGGUUAAGAGGAGUGGUUAGCUUCUGCGAAGCUACGAAUCGAAGCCCCAGUAAACGGCGGCCGUAACUAUAACGGUCCUAAGGUAGCGAAAUUCCUUGUCGGGUAAGUUCCGACCCGCACGAAAGGCGUAACGAUUUGGGCACUGUCUCAACGAGAGACUCGGUGA